Molecule: transfer RNA, 62 nt
Filed under: Limnadia lenticularis
Lineage: Eukaryota; Metazoa; Arthropoda; Branchiopoda; Diplostraca; Limnadiidae
Description: tRNA-His
Source: RNAcentral
GUUUUGUAGUUCAAAAAGAACAAAGGUUUGUGGCACCUUAAGUGUAGAAUCUACCAAAGACC